RNAcentral lists this ribosomal RNA (484 nucleotides) under uncultured bacterium. RNAcentral describes it as "partial 16S ribosomal RNA". It matches the Rfam family "Bacterial small subunit ribosomal RNA", at positions 28 to 523 of the family's 1533-position model. The record is from RNAcentral.
GACGAACGCUGGCGGCGUGCUUAACACAUGCAAUUCGAACGAUGAAGCCGGAGCUUGCUCUGGUGAAUUAGUGGCGAACGGGUGAGUAACACGUGAGUAACCUGCCCUUGACUCUGGGAUAACUGCUAGAAAUGGUAGCUAAUACCGGAUACGACCCUAGGAGGCAUCUUCAGGGGGUGGAAAGAAUUUCGGUCAAGGAUGGACUCGCGGCCUAUCAGCUAGUUGGUGAGGUAAUGGCUCACCAAGGCGACGACGGGUAGCCGGCCUGAGAGGGUGACCGGCCACCCUGGGACUGAGACACGGCCCAGACUCCUACGGGAGGCAGCAGUGGAGAAUAUUGCACAAUGGGCGCAAGCCUGAUGCAGCAACGCCGCGUGAGGGAUGACGGCCUUCGGGUUGUAAACCUCUUUUAGUAGGGAAGAAGCGAAAGUGACGGUACCUGCAGAAAAAGCACCGGCUAACUACGUGCAAGCAGCCGCCGUAA